AGUCAACUAAGGUCAUUGGAUUGAACAAACUUCCAAACCCACAGAUCGGCGAAUGCUAUUCGUCUAGGAAUCAGAUCAAGUACACUUAUCAGAGAUCGGAAAAAUAACCAAUGCGAUAACAAAACAAAAACGUUCAAAGUAAAAAUUUCAUUUCAUUUCCAAAAGAUGAGAUUACAUCAUUUGGGAGAUCUUAAAAGAUCUGAUUACAUCAUUUGAGCGAUCUCUCAAAAUCAGCACUACGAUCUACCUAGCUUAAGACUACUCUGAAGCCUUGAACGCUGACCUAUGUCAAAGCCUAGUAUUGUG
RNAcentral lists this unclassified non-coding RNA (306 nucleotides) under Hevea brasiliensis (rubber tree). The record is from RNAcentral. Lineage: Eukaryota; Viridiplantae; Streptophyta; Magnoliopsida; Malpighiales; Euphorbiaceae.